GUCUAAGUAUUCAAAAAUGAUUUUAAAUUGCAAAUUUAAAGGUAAGUUCAUACUUUUUAGACU
Molecule: transfer RNA, 63 nt
Filed under: Cleroidea sp. 3 KM-2017
Lineage: Eukaryota; Metazoa; Arthropoda; Insecta; Coleoptera
Description: tRNA-Cys
Source: RNAcentral